UCUUACUCUGCAACCCGGGACUGGCAGACCUAAUUGCAGAGGUAAUGGGAAGAGCUGAAAUGAUGGGAGGUCUGGC
Molecule: transfer RNA, 76 nt
Filed under: Marmota monax (woodchuck)
Lineage: Eukaryota; Metazoa; Chordata; Mammalia; Rodentia; Sciuridae
Description: tRNA.Val
Source: RNAcentral